GGGCGCCUAGCUCAGUUGGUAGAGCAGCUGACUCUUAAUCAGUAGGUCGUAGGUUCGAUUCCUACGGCGCCCACCA
This 76-nucleotide transfer RNA is filed under the name Alphaproteobacteria bacterium CG_4_10_14_0_8_um_filter_37_21. RNAcentral describes it as "tRNA-Lys". It matches the Rfam family "tRNA". Rfam says of the family: Transfer RNA (tRNA) molecules are approximately 80 nucleotides in length. Their secondary structure includes four short double-helical elements and three loops (D, anti-codon, and T loops). Lineage: Bacteria; Pseudomonadati; Pseudomonadota; Alphaproteobacteria. The record is from RNAcentral.